AGUUACCAUCAUUAAGUUGGGGACUCUAGCGAGACUGCCAGUGAUAAACUGGAGGAAGGUGGGGGAUGACGUCAAAUCAUCAUGCCCCUUAUGACCUGGGCUACAAACGUGAUACAAUGGCUGGAACAAAGGGAUGCGAAGCAGUGAUGUGGAGCGAAACCCAUAAAAACAGUCUCAGUUCGGAUUGAAGUCUGCAACUCGACUUCAUGAAGUCGGAAUCGCUAGUAAUCGCGGAUCAGAACGCCGCGGUGAAUACGUUCUCGGGGUUU
Molecule: ribosomal RNA, 269 nt
Filed under: uncultured Acholeplasma sp.
Lineage: Bacteria; Bacillati; Mycoplasmatota; Mollicutes; Acholeplasmatales; Acholeplasmataceae
Description: partial 16S ribosomal RNA
Rfam family: Bacterial small subunit ribosomal RNA
Source: RNAcentral